This 1715-nucleotide long non-coding RNA is filed under the name Homo sapiens (human). RNAcentral's name for it is "HSALNT0306465". The record is from RNAcentral. Lineage: Eukaryota; Metazoa; Chordata; Mammalia; Primates; Hominidae.
CUGAAAACCAGAGCUCGUCCGUGGCUUCACUUGUUUUGGACUAAGGAGCUGAGGAGCGUGCAAGACUGUACUUGGAGAAUCUGUUUCUUGCUGCCAUUUCGUCACUGAACACUAUUUUUUUUCUCCUUCUUUUUUUGUAAGAAAAGGAGAACACAUAAAACCCCACCAGAACAAACUCCACUCGGCCCUGAAAGUAUUUACAAUCACGGCCCUGAAAGUACUGAAAGUAUUUACAAUCACGUUACAGUUCAUUCACUGCUGCAGAACCUCUCUCCAGCGAUCAAGGUCGAAGGGAGCCGACGUCGCCCUCUAUCGGCUCCCUGCUGCACUAGAAGGUAAUUUAAACGAAAAGGCCCUUUGAAGCCAGUGUUCUCUAUUUUCUUCGAAACUCCAGGUUUUGGGGGCUUCUUUUCUGUUUGUUGUUUGUUUGCUCAGUCUAUGUUUUGAUUUGCUGGUGAGGGAAGGCAGAGAGAGGAAGUGGAGCAGGAGCCCAGCGCGUUUCUAUGGCCACCGCGACCACAGGCAGAGGGGGAGCCGUAGCAGGAAAGGCCAGGCCGCGCUCCGCACUGCGGGGGCCACGCCAACCUCCAUCCGACUCCCACAGAAGCGCCCACAAAAGGCACUUUCAUCACGUCCAGUGCCCGCUCCUGGGCCCACGGAAUGCAUUUGUUUUAGAGUCUCUGCAGAAACAAUGUUUCCACAUGCCAGCCACGCUCCGCAGACAGAAAGUUUCUUUGUGUUAGUGCCUGGUGUGAUGUGACCUCCACUGGUACAGCAUAGCCCGCCGCACCCCGGGGCCACAGCACUCUUCCAUCCCGCAGCCGCAUGAACCCCAGAAGGAGCUUCCACUGCAGGCAGGAGGCAAUCAUGCUCACCCUCUUCCACAGCCGGACUCACUCAGGAGGCCCUUCAUCUUCAUGUUCCCCACAUAGCAGAGGGGAGGGCAGAAGAUGAGAGGGAGGAGAGAGCAGAGCCAAGAGCCUCCUUUUCUCCCACUGUGCCCCUCCUAUGUGUGGCUCUGGACACCAGGAACCACCCAAGGACAGUGGGACUCCUCGAAAAGAUAAUUGCUCAUGAGGGAUCCAAGAGCAAGGCUUGUUACAUCCUAUAACCUUCACACAAAAUAUUGACUGAGAAUCCUCCAUGUGCCAAGUACUGUUCAAAAACACUGGGAACCCAGCAGGGAUGAGCCACAAGUUUCCUUGUCUUUACGAAGCUUUCAUUCUGAGGGAGUGGAGAGAGACAAGCAAUAAACAACCAAUCAAAACAAAGAUGACUCCUCUGAGUGUUGUGAUAUGCGGGUCAAGGAGGAUGGCUCCCAGGAUGUGACCUCAGAGCAGAAGCCUGGAGGCUUGCCAGCAGCGGGAAGAGCAGCGGCAGGGCACUGCAGGCAGAGGUGACCAAAAGCGUGAAACCUUGAGCUGGGAAGCACGUGGUCUGCUGGAAAGUGGGCUGAUGUAUUUGAAGAGAGCAAGGAGCAGAAUGGUACAAUGGGGUGAUGGGGGAAGAGCCAGGCAGAGCCCAGUGCUGCAAAGCCCGGUAGCACAUACAUGUGUAACGUACCUUGAAGCAAAUGAAUGGCCUGAUCUGGUUUCUGUUUUGGCUGCUCUGUGGUGAUGUGGUGCCUGGGAGGCAAAGAAGCUGGGAAAGAAGCGGUUUUUCUCUUCUAGGUACUUUAAAGCUCUAUAAUAUAUGCUCAGGUGAAAUUUGGCUGG